Acanthosepion pharaonis is the source of this 92-nucleotide non-coding RNA. The record is from the annotation of a GenBank genome assembly. NCBI's taxonomy places the organism in Eukaryota, Metazoa, Mollusca, Cephalopoda, Sepiida, Sepiidae.
UUGAAACACUUGUUCCCAUACGGUCACUGAAGUUAAGCAACAUUGAGCCUGGUUAGUACCUAGAUUGGUGACUGCUUGAGAAAACCAUGUGC